GUCCUCUUGUUUGUAUAUGAGGUCUGACCUGCCCGGUGAAAGUUUUUUAACGGCCGCAGUAUAUUGACUGUGCAAAGGUAGCAUAAUCAUUAGUCUUUUAAUAGGGGGCUGGUAUGAAGGGUUUGACGAGGUGUUAGCUGUCUCAUUUGAUUUGUAUUUAGAAUUUAAUUUUUCAGUUAAAAGGCUGAAAUUGUAUUGGAAGACGAGAAGACCCUAUAGAGCUUUAUAAUUAAUGUUUUAAUUAUUUUUUUGUAUAUUAUUUUUUAUUAUUACUUUAAUUAUUUUGUUGGGGUGACAAAAAUAUAUAAUUAACUUUUUUAUAUAGUUAACAUUGAUAUAUGAAUAUUAGAUCCAUUAAUAUUGAUUGUUAGAUUAAGUUACC
RNAcentral lists this ribosomal RNA (382 nucleotides) under Gomphus viridifrons. Its description in RNAcentral is "partial 16S ribosomal RNA". Lineage: Eukaryota; Metazoa; Arthropoda; Insecta; Odonata; Gomphidae. The record is from RNAcentral.